RNAcentral lists this long non-coding RNA (378 nucleotides) under Physcomitrium patens. RNAcentral's name for it is "long non-coding RNA (PPAT_LNC006436)". The record is from RNAcentral. Lineage: Eukaryota; Viridiplantae; Streptophyta; Bryopsida; Funariales; Funariaceae.
AAUCUUAAUUCUAAUAGAAUACUAAUUAAACUCUAAUUAAGCCAUAACAAUGCUAAGCAAGCUUUAAUCAAAUUCAAAGAAAUCUCAAAAGAAUUACAAAGAAAUAAUAAAAAAUCUUAAAGAAAUAUCAGAAUGAUCACAAAUAUAUCUCAAAUAUAUUUCAAUUCAAUCUUAAUUUAAUCCAAGUUAAAUCUUAUUGGACUUCAUUCAAACUUUAGGAAAAAAACUAAAUAAAUCUUAAAUCCUAAACAAAUCCUAAUAAAAUCUUAAACUCUAAAUCAAAUCCUAAUCAAAUCUUAAAUCAAAUCCUAAUUAAAUCCUAAAUCCUAAAUCAAACCCUAACCAAAUCCUAAAUCCUAAAUCAAAUCCUAAUCAAAC